Molecule: ribosomal RNA, 791 nt
Filed under: Psora decipiens
Lineage: Eukaryota; Fungi; Ascomycota; Lecanoromycetes; Lecanorales; Psoraceae
Description: LSU rRNA
Rfam family: Eukaryotic large subunit ribosomal RNA
Source: RNAcentral
UUGGGGCGAGUUGUAAUUUGCAGAGGGUGUUUCGGGCGCGGUGCCGGUUUAAGUCCUUUGGAACAGGGCGUCAUAGAGGGUGAGAACCCCGUAUGUGACCGGUCGCCAAACCCAUGUGAAACCCCUUCGACGAGUCGAGUUGUUUGGGAAUGCAGCUCAAAAUGGGUGGUAAAUUUCAUCUAAAGCUAAAUAUUGGCCAGAGACCGAUAGCGCACAAGUAGAGUGAUCGAAAGAUGAAAAGCACUUUGGAAAGAGAGUCAAACAGCACGUGAAAUUGUUGAAAGGGAAGCGCUUGCGACCAGACCUGCUCGCGGGUGAUCAGCGGUGCUUUUCGCGCCGUGCACUCGUCCGCGAUCAGGCCAGCAUCGGUUCAGGCGGCCGGAUAAAGACUCGGAGAAUGUAGCUCCCUCCGGGGAGUGUUAUAGCUCCUUGUGCAAUACGGCCAGCCGGGACCGAGGACCGCGCUCCGGCUAGGAUGCUGGCGUAAUGGUCGUAAGCGACCCGUCUUGAAACACGGACCAAGGAGUCUAACAUCUGUGCGAGUGUUUGGGCGUCAAACCCAUGCGCGCAAUGAAAGUGAACGUGAGGUGGGAACCCUUUCGGGGGCGCACCAUCGACCGAUCCAGAUGUCUUCGGAUGGAUUUGAGUAAGAGCACAGCUGUUGGGACCCGAAAGAUGGUGAACUAUGCCUGAAUAGGGUGAAGCCAGAGGAAACUCUGGUGGAGGCUCGCAGCGGUUCUGACGUGCAAAUCGAUCGUCAAAUUUGGGUAUAGGGGCGAAAGACUAAUCGA